GACAGAGGGGGCAAGCGUUGUCCGGAAUUACUGGGCGUACAGCGCACGCAGGUGGCGCACUAAGUGCCGUGUGAAAGCCCCGCGCUUAACGCGGGGAGGCCAGGGCAGACUGGUGGGCUCGAGGGAUGUAGAGGGUGGUGGAAUUGCCGGUGUAGUGGUGAAAUGCGUAGAGAUCGGCAGGAACACCAAGGGCGAAGGCAGCCACCUGGGCAUCACCUGACACUCAUGUGCGACAGCGUGGGGAGCGAACCGG
RNAcentral lists this ribosomal RNA (253 nucleotides) under uncultured bacterium. RNAcentral describes it as "partial 16S ribosomal RNA". It matches the Rfam family "Bacterial small subunit ribosomal RNA", at positions 524 to 776 of the family's 1533-position model. The record is from RNAcentral.